RNAcentral lists this long non-coding RNA (1264 nucleotides) under Anolis carolinensis (green anole). RNAcentral describes it as "lncRNA (ENSACAG00000041399.1)". The record is from RNAcentral. Lineage: Eukaryota; Metazoa; Chordata; Lepidosauria; Squamata; Anolidae.
AUGGAAACCUUUGUGUUUGAGAGCAAAGCUGUUUAUCUGCAUGAGAAAGAAGCCCAGCGUGGAAGCAAAGAAGGAAGUAUAAAGAACUUUAGUUAUGUUAUGGAAACCUUGUGUUGUAGUGCAGCCAUAUUAUUUUUCUAUAAAGAAAAGCUUCCAAAUAAUAAUAAUAAUAAUAAUAAUAAUAAUAAUAAUAAUAAUAAUAAUAAAAAUUAUGAUCUGCCAACUGCAAAAGGCCACCCGACUGGAAUCUGCGCACAUCAUCCGAAAAUACAUCACACAGUCCUAGACACUUGGGAAGUGUCUGACUUGUGAUUUUGUGAUACGAAAUCCAGCAUAUCUAUCUUGUUUGCUAUGUCAUAAUAAAAUAAUAACAAUAAUAUUUACUGUGUAACUUCAUUGUGAGAGGAGGCUCUGUGAGAGCGAAGCUCCUUAUCUGCAUGAGAAAGAAGCCCAGCGUGAAAGCAAAGAAGGAAGUAUAAAGAACUUUAUUUGUGUUUUGGAAACCUUGUUUUUGUAAGUAGUGCAACCAUAUUGUUUUGCUAUAAAGAAACACCUCCAAAUAACAACAACAACAACAACAACAACAACAACAACAACUUUAUUCUUAUAUCCCACCCCAUCUCCCCGAAGGGACUUGGGUAGCUCACAUGGGGACCAAGCCCAGCAAUACACAAUAAAAUGCAAUCGCAUAAAUACAUUUAAAACAUAUAAAGAUAACAUCAUAAAACAUAUUCUACACUAGCUGUGGCGAAGUAUGGUGGUAUGGGAAAUAAAGUAUUGAGGAAUUGGUGGUAGUUAAGGUAAAGGGUAAAGGUUUUACCUUACAUUAAGUCCAUUAUAAAUGGGUAAUAUAGCUAUGUGGAAGGGCCUUGAGUCUACACUGCCAUAUAAUCCAGUUAAAAUCAUAUAAUCUGUAUUUUAUAGGCAGUGUGGAAGAGGUCUGAGUGAGGCCUAACUCUGCCUGUCCCCUAGGCUGAGUGGGUUGCUAGGAGACCAAGUGGGCGGAGCUUAGCCUUCUAUCUGGCAGCAAUUGGAUAAAAAUAAUUAUUCCUCUCCCUCUAAUUAGGACUGUAUUUUUCUUUUCUUUUUGUUGUAUGAACGUAGAGGCAUGGAUGAGGGGUUGUGCUGCCAAGUUUAGUGUUUCUGGGAUGUGUCGUUUUGUUGUUUUGUCCUAGGCCGAAAUUUCAUUACCCUUUUAUAGAUAUAGAUUAAAACAUACUCAAGCAAUAACUACUAGUCGGGCACAGUGAACAUAUUCCAAAGG